This 16829-nucleotide long non-coding RNA is filed under the name Solanum tuberosum (potato). Its description in RNAcentral is "long non-coding RNA (STUB_LNC004945)". The record is from RNAcentral. Lineage: Eukaryota; Viridiplantae; Streptophyta; Magnoliopsida; Solanales; Solanaceae.
UUUCCAAAAGAGGUCGUCCUUGAAUAGAAAGGGAAUAUUGGGACACCAAGAGGUAAAUUUAUUUCUUGUCUUAAAGUAAAGAAGAUGAUGUCCAAAGGAUACAUAUGCCAUCUAGUGAGAGUGAAAAAUAUAAAUACGGAGCCACCAACUCUUCAAUCCAUUCCAGUGGUAAAUGAAUUUCCCGAUGUAUUUUCUGAAGAUCUUUCGGGUUUUCCCCCAGAAUGAGAAGUAAAGUUUGGUAUUGAUGUGAUUCCAAAUACUUAACCUAUCUCCAUCCCUGCAUAUAGAAUGGCUCCGACAGAAUUACGGGAGUUGAAAGAGCAAUUAAAAGACUUAUUAGAAAAAGGAUUCAUAAGGCCUAGUAUGUCCCAUGGGGGGCACCAGUUUUAUUUGUACGCAAGAAAGAUGGCUCGUUAAGAAUGUGUAUCGACUACCGGCAGUUGAAUAAGGUAACGAUUAAGAACAAAUAUUCCCUUCCUAGAAUUGAUGAUUUGUUUGAUCAGUUACAAGGUGCUAAGUGUUUUUCAAAGAUCGACUUGAGGUCGGAGUAUCACCAAGUAAGGGUCACAGACAAAGAUAUACCCAAGACAGCUUUCCGAACACGGUAUGGUCAUUUUGAGUUUUUAGUCAUGUUAUUCGGGCUAACAAAUGCACCAGCAGCUUUUAUGGAUAUGAUGAAUAGGGUGUUCAAGCCAUUUUUAGAUGUGUUCAUGAUAGUAUUCAUAGAUGACAUUUUGGUGUAUUCAAGAUCUGAAGAGAACCAUAGUAAUCACCUGCGACAGGUUUUACAAAUUCUUCGUGAUCGUAAGUUGUAUGCAAAGUUCUCUAAAUGUGAGUUCUAGUUGAAAUCUGUGGCAUUCUUACGUCAUAUUGUAUCCAAUGAAGGAAUAAGGGUUGAUAACCAGAAGAUAGAAGCCGUAGAAAAACUGGCCAAGACCUACAACGCCUACGGAGAUCCGUAGUUUUCUUGGUAUUGGCAGGUUAUUACAGAAGGUGCGUUGAAGGAUUCUCUUCCAUUGUUGCACCCUUAACAAAGCUAACACACAAAGAAACCAAGUUUCAGUGGAGUGAUGAAUGUGAAAGAAGCUUCCAAUAGCUGAAGAAUAAAUUAACUUCUACACAUAUAUUGGUACUUCCAGAAGGCAUGGAAGGUUAUGCAGUGUAUUGUGAUGCUUCGGGAGUGGGCUUAGGUUGUGUAUUGAUGUAGCAUUGUAAAAUAAUAGCUUAUGGCUCAAGGCAGCUGCGGCCACAUGAGAAGAAUUAUGCAACCCAUGAUCUAGAGUUAGCAGCAGUUGUGUUUGCUUUGAAGAUAUGACGCCACUACUUGUAUGGAGUUCAUGUUGACAUAUACACUGAUCACAAGAGUUUGCAAUAUAUAUUUAAGCAAAAGGACCUAAAUCUGAGGCAGCGAAGAUGGCUGGAGCUAUUAAAAGAUUAUGACAUUGAUAUUUUGUAUCAUCUUGAUAAAGCCAAUAUAGUAGCUGAUGCUUUAAGAUGUAAGAUAAUGGCAAGCACUUAUGGGCAGUCUAUGGAAAGACAAUGAAUAACUAAGGAUCUAUGCCAACUAGCUAGCUUGGGGGUUCACCUUCUUGAAUCUCCAGACGAAGGGGUUGUUGUGCAAAAUGUGGCAGAAUCCUCAUUAGUAGCGGAAGUGAAAGAGAAGCAGUACACUGAUCCUAUUCUAAUACAGCUUAAGGAGAAUGUACAACAGGGUAUGAUAAAGAAAUUUGAGCUUACGCAAGAGGGAGUACUUCGGUGUCAAAACAGAUUGUGUGUAUCUAACGUAGAUGAAUUGAGAAAGAGGAUUAUGAUGGAAUCACAUCAUUCGAGAUAUUCUGUCCAUCUGGGGUCAACAAAAAUGUAUCAUGACUUGAAAGAAAUGUAUUGGUUGGGGGGACAUGAAGAAGAAUAUUUAGAAAUUCAUGGCUCAAUGUUCAAAUUGUCAACAAGUAAAAGUAGAGCACCAAAAGCCCGAAGGUUAUAUGCAGUGUAUAGAACUUCCAAUUUGGAAGUGGGACAUGAUCAACAUGGAUUUUGUCAUUGGUUUGCCUCGCUUAUUUCAAAAGUUUUACUCCAUAUGGGUAAUAGUUGAUAGACUCACCAAAGCAACGCACUUCUUGUUGGUGAAAACUACUUAUACAGUUGAAGAGUAUGCAAGGUUGUAUAUUAAAGAGAUAGUUCGACUACAUGGAGUGCCAAUCUCUAUAAUAUCUGAUAGAGGAGUUUAAUUCACUAUAAAUUUUUGGAAGUCAUUUUAGAAGAGUUUUGGGAACACAAGUGAAUUUAAGUACAACCUUUCACCCCCAAAUAGAUGGUCAGGCAGAGCGUACCAAACACUUGAGGAUAUGCUGUGAGCUUGUGUAUUAGAUUUAAAGGGUAGCUGGGAUGAUCAUCUACCGCUUAUUGACUUCGCUUAUAACAAUAGCUACCAUUCAAGUAUUAAAAUGGCACCUUAUGAAGCUUUAUCUGGUAGAAAAUGUAGAUCCCCAGUUGGCUGGUUCGAAACAGGUGAAACUGCCUUAUUUGGGACAGACCUUGUUCAUCAAGCUAUGGAAAAAUUCAAAGUGAUACAGCAGUGGCUAGAAACAGCUCAAAGUCGACAUAAAUCAUAUGCGGAUGCUAGAAAGAGGGGACUAGAAUUUUCUAUAGGGGAUUGGGUGUUCUUGAAGGUGUCACCAAUGAAAGGGGUAAUGAGGUUUGGUAAAAGAGGAAAGUUGAGUCCACGUUAUAUAAGGCCAUAUAAGAUUAUCUGAAGAAUUGGCCAACUGGCGUAUGAGUUAGAGCUACCUCAAAAGCUUUCAACCGUUCAUCCGAUGUUUCACGUCUCAAUGCUACGAAAGUGUAUAGGUGACCCAUCUCGUAUUAAUCCUACUGAAGAUGUACAGGUUACGAAAGAUCUCACUUAUGAAGAAGUACCCAUUGUUGUUCUGGAUUGACAAGUAAAGAAGUUAAUAAAUAAAGAAGUAACUUCUGUAAAAGUCUUAUGGAGGAACCAACAAAUAGAAGAAGUUACAUGGGAAGCGGAAGAAGAAAUGAAAUUAAAGUAUCCUCAUCUCUUCUAGACCGAUGAGAAAGAUGAAAAUGUUGAGUUGAGGCGUUAACAAGUAAGUAUACGUCUAUAAGUUCAAUGUGAUUAAUAGUAGUACUAACUUAGGCUUAAACUUGUUUGGGCUGGAUAACCAUGCUAACAUUCGAGGACGAAUAUUUUAAGGGNNNNNNNNNNNNNNNNNNNNNNNNNNNNNNNNNNNNNNNNNNNNNNNNNNNNNNNNNNNNNNNNNNNNNNNNNNNNNNNNNNNNNNNNNNNNNNNNGACAUAGCCUUAUAGUAUAGGUGAGGGACCAUGUUUCUUAUAUGAUUAGUGUUGGUUUAAACUAUCUCGGAAGGUGAUGUGAUGCCUUGCAUGUUUCAGCAUGUGUACUAUAGGUUAUAACUCCAACGGAAGUAUUUAAACUCAAGACGGUAAGGUGGUAAUUGAGCUUAAAGUUGNNNNNNNNNNNNNNNNNNNNNNNNNNNNNGAUUAAUAUUUAGAAAAUGGAAUAAAAUAAGUGAGUUGCUUGCUUGACUUGACUAAGCUAGUAGGUGACAAGUAGGUGCAUCGUCUACUUUGACUAAUUAACCAGUCCAAAGUACCAAGUAGGUGCAUCACCUACUUGAGAUAUAUGAAUCUAGUUAAAAAGGCCAAGGUUUAUGGAUUAGAUUUGGGCCUAUGCCAGUGGACUCACUUGAGGCCCAAACUAAGUUAAUAAAUGAAAUGAAAUUAAAGCCCAGCAGCCAAAUUUGCCAAGGCCCAAUUUAUUUAAGCCCAAGUGAAAGCAAGUAGGUCCAUCACCUAGUUUGACCUUUUGACCUACUUGACCAAUUAGUGGCUGAAAAUAGACUAAAAAGGGAGGUUCUAAAUGAUAUUCUUAAAGGUGAAUAAAGCUCAAUAUAAGAUAUAUUGGCUGCUAUUUUUACUCAUUUUAACACACAAUAUUGACAAUUAACUCCAUCUCUCUCUCUCUCUCUCUCUCUCUCUCUCUUUUCUCUUAAGGAUUAAAACAACAUCCUUAAAGUUCCUUCUAGGGUUCUUAAAGAAACCCUAAUAUCUGCAAACCAAGGUAAGAGAAACACUUAUGGAUUUAGCUUAAUUCUCCCAUGGAAGACUAGAAAACAUGNNNNNNNNNNNNGUAGAAGGCAGAAGUUCCCACAAGCUACUGCUCACUUUCCUUAAUUAUUAAGAAACUUUUCUCUUCCUUUUUGGUUUAAGUGUGAAGAGAAUUUGAAGUUCUAGAGGAAUUCAAAGGUUAUAAGGAGAAAGUUGCAAAAAUUGAGGUAAGGUGACUGCUCUAUUUUCUUCCUCUUUAUGUAUGAGUUUGAGUGAGGAAUUAUGGGUGUGCUAUUAUAAAGAACUCAAGGGGGUGGUGAGUUCAAUAAUUGGUUGUAUGAUAAAGAAUAUUUGAGGUUGUUUUAUGUGUAUUGUUGUUGGUGCAACUUGGGUAAUCUUGGAAAAGGAUAUAUAAUGUAUGUAUUGGGCAAAUAAGGACGGUGUGGUAAUACACAUUAUUUUAAGGGUUGUAUGGGCUCAUUAUCCGUCAAAGUUAGCUACUGUUUUACGAGGCUCACGGUGUGAUAGCUGCUAAUUUUAGUUUAUCAUGACUUAUAUUGUAGAUUAAAACCUCAAAGGGGAGGCUGAAUUUUGAUAUUUAUAUUGGUCAGAGGAUAAGGUAUGUAAGGCUAUUCGAUUCAAUAUUCUUUCCCAUGAAAUAUGAUAAGUACCAUUAAUAUCAAUAAGUGAAUUUCCUAAGUUUUAUUCCUAGUAAAGGAAACAUAGUGGCAGCGUACGAUCUCCAAAUAGCUAACAAUAUUUCCCCUCUCUCCUUAGUGUAUAGAAUUACUUCAUUAUAUGUUCACUACUCUAUACUUGUGUAAUUAUCCAGCUCUGUGCUGGUAUAGAAAUGGUAUUUGCAAAAGCAAGUUUGGUGAAUCUUCCUCUUAGUCAGUUGAAGUCAAUUGUGUCAGUUAAGCUCACAAGUAAUGCAUUGAUGUUACAUAGCUCCUUAUGUCAUUGUUACUGCCUUGAAGUAUUAUUUUCAUGUCUUCUACUACUGGUCCGUAGUUCCAAAUAUAAAAAAUGAUUAUGAUUACCAAAACAGCAAUCUCAAAUAUUAAAUAAUCUAAAUGAAGCAAUCUGUAUAAUUAUGGGUGGCAGCCCAAGGGAAAAUGCCUAGCAUGGGUCGAUCCUAAUUGGUAUAUAAGGGUGGCAGCUCAUGGGUGAAACCGUAGCAUGGGCCGAUCCCAAUUUGUGGAAUUAUGACGACCACAUCCCAGGGGUUAAAAUGCCUAGCAUGGGUCAUCCUCUUCUACCACUGAUCAGCUGGUAUUUCGUAUCACAUGCCUUAUAAAGAUCAUAACACAUAGAAAGGUAAAGACAAGAAUGUGACAUCUAUGAUCCCACAAGACUUAACAAAGGUAGUCUUCUGUUUUGAUUUAUGCACACAUAUAUUGAUACUUGGUUUCAUUCGAACUCUUAUUUUAUAUAUGUUAUUGCUUACAUACUUAGUACAUUUUUUCGUAUUGACGUCCCUCGCGGGGGACGCUGCAUUUCAUGUUGUAGGCAUAUGUACUCCAGCUAGUAGACCUCCUCAAUAAGAGCACACGACACUCAGUUACUUUUGGUGAGCUCCAGGUUGAUUCCGAGCUUUACUGAGUCCUUGGUACAUUUUGGUAUUGUAUCGUAGUUAAGGGUAAGGCGGGGUCUGUCCCGACCUACUCUAAGGUUUUCUAGCUUUUAAAAGCUUUGUAGACUAAUGUAUAUGGUUCAAGUGUGUCUUAAUAAGUUGUGGCGUUAACGACCAAGUCUUGUAUAUAAGUUUUGGGUCUACUUAUGUGGGUUCUCUCAGGCCUUUAGGGUAUCGGGUGCCUGUCCGUGUUAAUGGGAUUUGAGGCAUGACAACCACAUUCCGACAUAACUAACUUGGAUCAAUUUUCACGUUCUGGCAUAAAAAUGGGAUCAGUUACCACGUUUCGGUAUACAUAUGGGAUCGAUUGCCACGUUCCGGCAUCCUAACUGUUUAGGUUUGGGUUCCGUGAGUAGACCAAUGAUUUGUGAUAAAUGUAUAUUGAUGAGAAUGUUGAUAUAUGUGCAUGUGAUUGUAAUGUUGUUUGACUUGUUUAUGUUGCACUAGUAAGAUAGUCGCGUGAUCCUACUAGUACAUUGUGGUUGGGUGCUGAUUCUGCACUUGCUCUAAUUUUUAUUGAGUACAGGGCAUCUUCACGUGACUACUGACAGACCUCGCUUAGAAGAUCAGUGAUUGUCGCUUCGAAUUCAAGGGUGAGCCAAUUCUUCCAGGCUGCCAUGGGAUUCUCUUUCGUCUAUGUCUAUCAUUUCCGAACUUAGAUAUUUGUUCUAAUUAGUUGAUUAGUUCAUCAGUUGGGGAUUUAUCGCUUCUUGUUUAGACUUGGAUCAUUUGUUUAGAUGUUUUGGUACAUUGACUUUCAGGUUCUAGGUAUUUAAUUUCCGCAUUUGUUAGUUAAUUAACUUGCUUCCAUAACUUAAUUGUCUUAGUAUUGUUUAAGUUGCUUAGUUUGGUUGUAGUAGUGGUUCUCCUACCGGAUGGUUAGUGUGGGUGCCAAUCACGACUGUCUGGGUCGUGACAAAGUUGGUAUCAGAGCCUAGGUUCAUUGAUCUCAAUGUACCGAAACGAGUCUAAUAGAGUCUUGCGGAACGAUACAUGGAUGCCUUUACUUUUAUUCUAGUGGCUACAGGACUUUAGGAAAUCUUUUUUUUUCCUCUUGUCUCCUUUCAUGUUAUGACUUGAUUCAAAUUGGUAUCUAACCUCCUUCACUCUUCUGCUCGCAGAUGGUUAAUACUAGGUAUAACAGUGUUAGGCUCGUAGCUCCUGCCAAUGCUUCAGCUGAUGAAUCUGUAGCAAAAGGUCGCGGUUGAGGUAGAGGAAGAGCUAGGGGCAAAGGCCGUGAAAGGGUAGCGCAUGCUAAAAAUGAGGUACAUGUUAAGAAUGUGCAUGUGAAUAAGGACCCUCAUACGCAUAAUGAGAAGAUAGAGGAGAAUGUGGAUGUCGAGGAUGUUCAAUAGAUUGGACAAGAGGAAGCGGUGCAGGAUGAAAAUGCAGGCGUUCCUCCUUUGGAUCCGGUGUUAGCUCAACAGAUCAUGUCCUUUUUGAAGGUGUUCGCUGGUCCUGGAGUGCUUCCAUCUGCCCAACCAACUCAAGCUCUCGCUAAUCCCCCUAUUGAUAGCACUGCCCCCAAGACAGGUGGAAUGGAAGGUAAUGAUGCUUUCUUCCGUCCUCUGUUGGGUUCUGUUAUGACUAGGAACGAGCAUGAUAUGUUGACUAAGUUUCUGAAGCUUAAGCCUCCGGUAUUUCUUGGUUUUGAGACUGAAGAUGCUUAUGAGUUUAUCUUAGACUGUUAUGAGAGGCCGCAUAAAUUGGGCAUUGUUCACCAACAUGGGGUUGAGUUCGUAUAUUUCCAACUUCAAGGUGAGGCCAAGCAGUGGUGGAGAGCUUAUAUGGAGUGCAGAUCCUCUACUUUACCUCCACUUACUUGGACCCAAUUUCAUAUUCUAUUUCUAGAAAAGUAUGUGCCCAGAACUUUGAGGGAUCGCAAGAAGGAUGAAUUUAUGGCUUUAGAGCAAUGUGGUAUGUCUGUGGCUGCUUAUGAGGCCAAGUUCCAUGUUUUAUCCAGUUAUGCUACGCAAUUGGUUACUACUGAAGAGGAGAGGAUCCAGUUGUUUAUUAGAGGUUUGAAUUCUGGUUGCAAGUAUUAACUGUUCAUAUGAAUUCUGCAGGAAGGAGUUUUAAUGAGGUGUAGACUAUGUUAAGAAAGUGGAGGGGGUGAGGCGAGACGGUCAAGCUAAGGCUUGGGCAAAAAGAACAAAGAAUUUCGAUAACUUUCAAGGCUCUUACUCUAAGGGGUCUGGAAGGCCAACACUUGCAGCCAAGCCAAUUCAGUCUGCUAUGCCCGCCUCUACAGGUAACUAUUCGGGAACCCCAUCUCAUAAUUUUUAGGAUAGUCAGAGUGUCGUUUCUUCGAUGGGCAGCAGACCAUUUUUUGAUCGUACCCAUCUCAUAAUUUUCAGGAUAGUCAGAGUGUCGUGCCUUCGACGGGCAGCAAACCAUCUUUUGAUCGUACUUGCUACAACUGUGGUGAACCUAGGCAUAUGAGGAGAGAUUGUCCCCAUCCACGUGUGUUAGAUUCCGCGCAACAGCAGUCUAGAGAAGUGGUACCCACGGGGAACGGUAAUAAUGGUAGAGGACGUCCACAAGGUGGGCGAGGAGGUAAUCAGCGAGGCCGUGGAGGUAGAGGAAAUGGUAAUGGUAAUGGAGGUAGGGGUAACGCGCAACCAGGCAGGGAAGUGACUGUUUACAUCCCUACUUUAUUCAAAUAGAGCGAAACGUCUUGUGAUUCAAAAAAUAAUCAAUUAAUUCAAUUUUAAAAGAAUUUUAAGAAUAAACGAAUUUUAAAUGAGUCGCCACCUAAUUUUAGGAAAAACUAGGAAACCAAUUAAAAAUGUCUACGAAACCAUUAGAUUCUAGGUAAGGGGUUCAAGUCAUUCUGAAGGAAAGGUGUUAGGCAGCUUUCAAAAUCCACAAUUGUGGGUCCCGACUAAAUUCAUUUUUUCAAAUUGAAAAGGAGAUAAAAAUAAAUAUACAAGUAUAAUAAACAAGUAAUUUACACAAAUAAUAAAAUAAACAAUAAUAAGAAACGACCUAAGCUUGCCUAGCGUCACUAAUAUACACAAUAAUAAAUAACAAUUAUAAUUCGAACUCCGUUUGAAUAGCUUUAAUGGGAAGCAACUCUGGGUACAUAUAAAGACACUUAGUAAAAGUGUUAGUACUAAAUAAAUAUGAAUAAAAAUAACCAAAUUAAAUAAUAACUAAAAAAUAAAAAUCCUUCUUAUUAACAUGGGAGGCCUUGGAAAGCGACGGUAAUUUCUUCAUCGGCCAAUUUUAACAUAGAAAAUAUAUAAACUUAAACUAAAUUUCCGUCUUUUAAUAUUGGGGAGGCCUCGAAAAUCGACGGAGAAAUUUUUUCAUUGGCUAAUUUAACAUUUACUACUAGAGAUCAAUUUAACAAAGAACCAAAAGAAACAAAAAAUAAUAAUUAAGAUAACAAAUAGUCUAAAUUGAUCCUAAAUGUGGUUCUAACAUUUUUAACAAAAGUUUUGCAAAUAUUUUCUAUUAAAUUAACGACAAAUUACAGUGAGCAAAGAGCAUGGACAUUCAUCAACAAUAAUAUAUUAAAAUAAUGAAGAUUCGAAGCAACAUUGAUAGCCACCAAAUGUAGGCAGCAACAAACAAAACUUAUAUAUCCACCGUAACAAAUAAUAAUAAUAAUAAUAAAAACGAUAAAAAGUAAUAAUAACUAAACAAUAAUAACAAUCAUAAUAAUAGAAUAAUAAUAAAAAGCAACAACAGUAAUAUAUACCAUUUAACAAAUAGUAAACUUUAACAUACGAUACAUUUAUCAAAUAAAACAAAACGAAACACAUAAGUGUACUCAUCCAAACAACAUAACAACAUAACAACAAUAAAAUUAGUCUAAUAAAAAAUAGAAUAUCAAAGGUGGUGAUUCCAUCAAAAAUCCAAAAUUUCUCGAAAUUAUAAAAAAUGAAUAACAUGAACCAUAAGAACCACAGUAUCACAAAACAAACAUAGAAAUAAUAUAAAAAGGAAGCAACACAGUCAUUAAAAAAAAAUAAAAAAAAAUACUAUAGCAUCCUAAAACAAAACCAAACAAAUUUGUAAGAAAUUAGAACUAAAAUAGGAAACAAUAGUGAUAUUAUUGGAGUUCCAAACCUCCGUUGGCAAUCCUAUUUUCGGAUUUCACCGGAACGAAGCUAUUGUUGUCAUUGUUGGUUGGAGUUUAUUGGAACUUGAAGCUCUAGUUCUCCGGAAUGUGCAGAUUUGAACACCUACAAAACAAACAAAAUAUCGCAAAAGGAGAAAGGGGAAGGGACUAGCGAUGUCUUGAGCCUGCUUUGCUCUGGUUCAUUGGAGUUUGAAACUCCUCACCGAAGUUGCUACUGGUGAGUCACGAGUUUAGCUCGCUUGAACUUGGAAAAGAGGAGAAAUGAGGUUUUGUUCGGGUUCUGGGGUUUUAGCCGGAGAUCUGGUUGUGAGCUUCAAGCUCGAUGGCUUGUUGGUUUCAGGCAGGUAUUUGGAUGUUGCCGGAGUGGCGUCUGGCGGUCGUUUUAAUUUCUGGUGGGUUUUUCGCCAAAAAAGAUGAAAAACGAGUGGGGUUUUGGGUGGCGGCUAUGAGAGCAUAUAGGAGGAGAGAAAGUUUAGGUUCUUCCCUUUAGAAAAAGUUCCUCCUAACCUAAAUAUUUUCCACCACCUUUAUUUUUUAACCUAAUCAAACUUAUAUAGGAAAUAAUUUUACAAUGAGCUCAAAGUGUGGGCUUGAGAUUAUGACCCGAAAUUAUUGAUUAAAUAAAAUAUCUUUGUAUAUAAUUAUUAUUCUAAUUUAACAGUAUUUCUAGACUGUGCUAAAAACGUCAAAAUUGAUAUUAAUAAAAGUAAUUAAUAAAAUGAAUAUUAAAAAAUGUAAUGAGCGUAACUCAUGAUGUGUAAAACAAUGCAAUAUAACAGAAAUAAUUAUUUAAUUAAAAUGAACAAAUAUUUGAACGUAUUCAACCGGCUGUGACAAAAAGUAAUGUAAUUAAAAUUAACUGAUAAAAACUCUAAACUUUUGAUAAAUAAGGAUAAAUAUUGAUAAACUUAUUUAAAAUUAUAAAAAGUGUAUUUUGAACUAUUGAAUUAAUAAAAGUUAAAAGUUAAGAAUCUUGAAAAUGUUAGGCCAAAUUUUGGUGUCAACAGUGGCUCGUCAAGAUGAUAGAGCUCAAUGUUAUACUUUCCCUGGCAAAAAUGAGGCGAAGGCGUCCGAUACGGUGAUCACAGGUACUAUUCUUGUCUGUGACUGGAUGGCUAAUGUAUUAUUCAAUCCGGGUUCUACUUAUUCGUAUGUAUCUGUGAGAUUUGCCUCUAAUUUUGAGAUGAUUUGUGAUAUACUUGAUGCCCCAAUUCGUGUUUCUACCCCUGUUGGAGAGUCAAUCAUAGUCACCCAUGUCUAUCGUGCUUGUCCUAUUGUGUUUAUGGGUUUUCAGACUUGGGCUGAUUUGGUGAUUUUGGAUAUGAUUGACUUUGACAUAAUCUUAGGCAGGACUUGGUUGUCCCCCUAUUACGCUGUGCUUAAUUGUAAUACUAAGUCUGUAACUCUAGAAAUUCUGGGAAGGGAAAAAUUAGAGUGGGAAGGGGUGUACAAGCCUAAGCAAGCUAAGAUUAUAUCCUCCAUUCGGGCUAGUAAAUUAGUAGAGCAGGGUUGUUUGGCUUAUUUGGCUCAUGUUAGGGAUGUUGAGAUUGAGGCUCCAUCCAUUGGGUCUAUUCCUAUGGUGUCUAAAUUUAGUGAAGUGUUUCCUAAUGACUUGCCUGGUAUGCCUCCGAAUAGAGAUAUAUUUUUGCAUUGAUUUGGAGCCUGGUACUCGCCCCAUUUCUAUCCCUCCAUAUUGUAUGGCUCUGACAGAAUUAAGAGAGCUUAAGGCUCAAAUCCAAGAGCUCCUUGAUAAGGGAUUUAUUCGCCCUAGUGCUUCCCCAUGGGGUGCUCUAAUUUUGUUUGUUAAGAAGAAGGAUGGUAGUAUGAGAAUGUGUAUAGACUACCGGUAGUUAAAUAGGGUCAUUAUUCGGAAUAGGUACCCCUUGCCGAGAAUAGAUGAUCUUUUUGACCAAUUGCAAGGUGUAAUGGUAGAUCUUUCAAAAGAUUGAAUCGGUUAGGGAUUGGGUUAGGCCUGGCUCUGUGACGGAGGUUAGGAGUUUUGUGGGACUCGCUAGCUAUUAUCGUCAAUUUGUUAAGAAUUUUGCUUCAAUUGCUACUCACUUGACCAAUUUGACCAAAAAGAAGAUAUCAUUUGAAUGGACUGAAAAAUGUGAGGAGAGCUUUCAAAAGCUCAAGACUCUCUUGACCACCGCGCCCAUUCUAGCAUUACCGGUGGAAGGUAAGGACUUUAUAGUUUAUUAUGAUGCUUCUCAUUCUGGAUUGGGCGCUGUGUUAAUGCAGGAUAAGAAUGUUAUAGCCUAUGCGUCGGGUCAAUUGAAAGUGCAUGAGAGAAAUUAUCCAACCCAUGAUUUGGAGUUGGCGGCGAUAGUAUUUGCUCUUAAGAUCUGGCAGCAUUAUCUUUAUGGUGUUAAGUGCGAAGUGUUUACUGAUCAUCGUAGUUUGCAGCAUGUGUUCACUCAAAAGGAUCUGAAUUUGAGACAACGAAGAUGGAUGGAGUUACUCAAGGAUUAUGAUGUGAUCAUUCAAUACCAUCCGGGUAAGGCAAAUGUUGUGGCAGACGCUUUGAGUCGAAAGGCAGUAAGUAUGGGUAGCUUAGCUUACUUGAGUGUAGCCAAGCGACCCUUGGCCGAAGAAAUUCAGACCUUAGAGUCUAAGUUCAUGCAGUUGGGCAUCUCUGAAAGAGGCGGGGUGUUAGCUAGCAUUGAAGUUAAGGCCACAUUCAUUGAGGAGAUCAAGGCCAAACAAUUUGAGAAUUAAAAUUUAAACGUACUCAAAGAGAAAAUGGCGAAUGGUAAGGCACAAGAGACCACUCUUGAUGCGGAUGGUGUACUUAGUGUUAAGGGGAGAAUUUGUGUUCCUUGAGUUGAUGACUUGAUUAAAAAAUUAUUGGCGGAAUCUCAUGGUUUGCGAUAUUCUAUUCAUCCGGAUGUGACCAAGUUGUAUAGAGAUCAGAAAUGAAUUUAUUGGUGGGCGGGCAUGAAGAAAGACAUAGUGGAGUUUGUGGCUAAGUGUCAAAAUUAUCAACAAGUGAAAUAUGAACAUCAAAGGCCUGCAGGUUUACUUCAAAGAAUGUCAAUUCCGGAGUGAAAGUGGGAAAUAAUAGCUAUGGAUUUUGUGGUUGGUCUUCCCAAAACUUUGGGGAAGUUUGAUUCUAUUUAGGUAGUGUUUGAUAGAUUGACCAAGUCAGCCCAUUUUAUUCCGGUAAGAACAGAUUAUAAUGCUGAACAAUUGGUUAAGGUGUAUGUGAAAGAGACAAUGAGGUAGCAUUUUUUGUCCCUUUCUAUCAUCUCAGAUCGUGGUACCCAAUUCACUUCCAAGUUUUAGAGGAAAUUGCAUGAUGAGUUGGGCACACAACUCACUUUUAGUACAACCUUUCAUCCACAGACGGAUGGACAAUCUGAGAGGACUAUUCAAGUAUUGAAAGACAUGUUGAUGGCAUGUGUGAUUGAUUUUGGAGGGCAUUGGGAUAAAUUCAUACCUUUGUGUGAGUUCUCCUAUAAUAAUAGUUAUCACUCCAGCAUUGAUAUGGCACCAUUUGAGGCACUAUAUGAGGAGGAACCGAUUGCUAUUCUUGAUCGUGAUGUGCGUAAGUUGAGAACCAAGGAUAUUAAGUCUGUGAAAGUUCAAUGGAAGCAUCGUCCAGUUGAGGAAGCUACUUGGGAAAUUGAGAGGGACAUGCGAGACAAGUAUCCUCAAUUAUUCGUCGAAUCAAGUACUACUUCAUUCUUUCCUUAGCCUACUUUCCCAAAGUUUAGUCACUCGGGGACGAGUGAUGCGUAAAUUGGUAUCUAUUAUAACGACCGGGUUUCGUCGUUAUAGAAAUGCCAACGAGAGAAAAAUUGGGGCCAGAAAAACUUUUUUGUAGUACUUGAAUUUUCCCAACCUUUUUCAGAUUUGGACGAAAUUGGAUUCCUUGAGGUGUGGGGAAAUCUGGUAACAAUCGGGUGGAGUAGUUAUAGUUUUGGUUGCAUGAGUGGUUAGAUAACUUGUUAAGGAAUUCGUACAACUUUACGGAAUCAAAUUCGAGAGAGUAAAACUCCCGGAAUCGAUCUUAGCGUGAGGGGUAUUUUCUGAUCGUCGUGGGUUAGAGAUGUGUAGUGAAAUGGGAUUUUGGAAUUUCUUCAGUUGACUCUCUGGUUCCGUUUGUGCCGCUUUGGCGGGAGUCUGGCCGCUCUAGCGGGGCCACUACAGCGGGAUAUGGGGCGUUGUGUCAGGUACGACAAGACUUAAAAUCGUAGAAAGGAUGGAUAGUUUACUGGCUCGAAAAUGCCGCUCUGGUAGGACUUGAUGUUGCUCUGGCGCCGCCGCUACAGCGGGAUAAGGGCCGUUGUGGCGGGCCAAACGUGACUUAAUGUCGUUAAUAAACCCCUAAACAACCUUAUUUGGCACUUUUCGACUUUUAGAGCUAAGGAACGACCCCCAGGCGAUUUCUACUCAUUUUUCAUCAUUUUUGAGGCUAAAGGUAAGCUUUUCACUCCCCGAAUCAGUUUCUCGAUACGUAGAACGUAAUAGAAUGGGUGAAUAUUGAUGGGGGAAGGUUUGUUAUAGAUUCUAUGGUGGAAACAACCCUAGUUUGGAUGUUUGGGAUAAUGGGUUUGAUCUAGGGUUCAUAGAAUUGUUAUAAUUUUGGGUAAUUAGCGAUUGCUUGUUGAUUCCCAUGUUAUUGUGAUUGUUUGUAGAUCAAGAACAAGCAANNNNNNNNNNNNNNNNNNNNNNNNNNNGGGAAGGAUCAAGUUUCUUAGGGUUUCAAGCUUGUUUCGAGGUCGGUGAUGGUUGUGAUUCUAUGAUUGUGUGAUGGUUGUUUGUUCUUGCUUCAUUAUGAUACUUGUAUAUGUAUGAAUGUUGCAAUGUUGAUCACACUUGUUGUAAAUGAGAUAGAUGAAUAUUCUUGCCAUGAAAUCAUGAUGUAAAUGUAUGAUCUUGAUGAUGUACUUGUGAUUGUGAUUGUGGUGUGUGAAUGGGAUCGGUUGCCACAUUUCGGCAUAACUAACUUGGAUCGGUUGCCACGUUCCGACUUAAAAAUGGGAUCGGUUGCCACGUUCCGGCAUACAUAUGGGAUCGGUUGCCACGUUCUGACAUGCUAACUGUUUGGGUUUGGGUUCCGUGAGAGGACCAAUGAUUUGUGAUAAAUGUAUAUUGAUGAGCAUGUUGAUAUAUGUGCGUGUGAUUGUAAUGUUGUUUGACUUGUUUAUAGUGCACUAGUUGGAUAGCCGCGUGAUCCUACCAGUACACUGUGGUUGUGUAUUGAUUCUGCACUUGCUCUUAUUUUUGUUGAGUAUAGGGCAUCUUCACGUGACUACUGAUAGACCUCGCUUAGAAGAUUAGUGAUCGUCGCUUCGAAUUCAAGGGUGAGCCAAUUCUUCCAGGCUGCCAUGGGAUUCUCUUUCGUCUAUGUCCAUCAUUUCGGACUUAGAUAUUUGUUCUAGUUAGUUGAUUAGUUCAUCAGUUUGGGGGAUUUAUCCCUUCUUGUUUAGACUUGGAUCAGUUGUUUAGAUGUUUUGGUACAUUGACUUCAGGUCCUAGGUAUUUAAUUUCCGCAUUUGUUAGUUAAUUAACUUGCUUCCAUAGCUUAAUUGUCUUAGUACUGUUUUAGUUGCUUAGUUUGGUUGUAGUAGUGGUUCUCCCACCGGAUGGUUAGUGUGGGUGCCAAUUACAACGGUCUGGGUCGUGACAGAUAUGGGGGAGAGUUCAGACAACUCCCAGCCCCCAUAAACCAUGUAGCCACCAUGGAUAGAAAAGAGUCAUACUUUUUAGAUGAUUCUUUAGUAAUUUGUAGCAUAGACUAGUGGAUCCACUUAGUAGUCAGGUUCUAUACCCCUCGGCAAGGUAUAGGACGGCCCUGGCAGCGUGAGGCAAAAUGAUGUAUCAUCACAAUAACUCUUAAGUGAUGGUUGUCGGUUAGAGAAACUCCCACAACAGUAUUUUGUAUUUUUAUAUACAUUCCAAAGUUUAUAUUGUAUCUUUGCAUACACACAGAGUUGUUAUCCAAGAAUAAUGGUGUAUAACUGUCAAAAUAAAACGAAAACAAUAUUGUGUUAUGUUCAACUUUAAAUAUAUAUCUUUUAAAUGUAGAAUUUAACAUAUAUAUAUACAACCUAAUUUUCCGAUGAAGGGUGUCCAGUUGGACACCUUUGGAUGGUUGUAGCUACACCACUGCCCAUAACAACCAUUUCAGCCACAACUACCAACACCAUCAAUCACAAUCUUCAACCCAACCACAACCAUCACUACCUUUAAUCACAAAAAUCAAUAGUCAUUACCAUUAAUCAUUAUUUGUAAUCAUCAUCACCAAUCAUUAUUACAUCAACUAUGUAACACCUCGGAUUUGACAAAGGCUAGAAAGGGGUCAAGCAGGCAAAAAGUUGACUUCAUUUACUAUUUCUACAGAUAAUAUAUGUCAUAUGUAUAAGAUCAUAGUAUAUCCAUUAUUAAUUUAUAUUUAUAUAACGAUAAAAAAUAAUUAUAAUAAAAUAAGAAAUAUUUUCAUUUUUAUUUUUUUCUGAAUUGAAGUAUUUUUUUUAUUUUUUUUAAAGAUAACAUUCUGAAUUGAUUAUUAAUCACAACAGUAAAGUAAACUCAAGUAAUCAUGCAAUAAAGUAUCACUUAACUGGGAAGAGGAAACAACCUCUUCCAGUCAGGUGGCAAUAGUUCCAAAAAGGAGUUUGCAAAACCAUACUAAAGCUUAAAUUCUAAUCGAAUUCUAGUAAUUGCAUUUCAACAAGUUCUUUCACACAUAUUCAUCGUCAUCAAAGCUAAGUUAUCUGAAAACAUGAUAGAAUUGACAGAGACUUCAGGGUCUCUACACUCAGUUCUUUGAAGCUAGUUUUUCCUUUGCCUUCUGAAUCUUCAACACCUUUUUCACAUUUUUUUGUUCUUCAACCAAGAAAGCUCGGAUGAUUCUCUCCCUUACAGCACUUCCAGAUAGCACACCUCCAUAAGCGCGGUUCACAGUCCUGCAGUUUCUUGGCAAUCUGGAUCUCUUAUAUUCAGCAGGUCUCAAAUGUGGAAUCCCUUGGAUUCUCUUCCCAGUAACUGGACAUUUAGGGCCGCUGGCUCUCUUCU